GUGAACGCUGGCGGUAGGCCUCACACCUGCAAGUCGAACGGCAGCACAGUAAGAGCUUGCUCUUACGGGUGGCGAGUGGCGGACGGGUGAGGAAUACAUCGGAAUCUACUUUUUCGUGGGGGAUAACGUAGGGAAACUUACGCUAAUACCGCAUACGACCUACGGGUGAAAGCAGGGGAUCUUCGGACCUUGCGCGAUUGAAUGAGCCGAUGUCGGAUUAGCUAGUUGGCGGGGUAAAGGCCCACCAAGGCGACGAUCCGUAGCUGGUCUGAGAGGAUGAUCAGCCACACUGGAACUGAGACGCGGUCCAGACUCCUACGGGAGGCAGCAGUGGGGAAUAUUGGACAAUGGGCGCAAGCCUGAUCCAGCCAUACCGCGUGGGUGAAGAAGGCCUUCGGGUUGUAAAGCCCUUUUGUUGGGAAAGAAAAGCAGCAGGUUAAUACCCCGCUGUUCUGACGGUACCCAAAGAAUAAGCACCGGCUAACUUCGUG
Molecule: ribosomal RNA, 491 nt
Filed under: uncultured bacterium
Lineage: Bacteria
Description: partial 16S ribosomal RNA
Rfam family: Bacterial small subunit ribosomal RNA
Source: RNAcentral